UAGGGAAUCUUCCACAAUGGACGCAAGUCUGAUGGAGCAACGCCGCGUGAGUGAAGAAGGUUUUCGGACCGUAAAGCUCUGUUGUUGGUGAAGAAAGGAUAGAGGUAGUAACUGGCCUUUAUUUGACGGUAAUCAACCAGAAAGUCACGGCUAACUACGUGCCAGCAGCCGCGGUAAUACGUAGGUGGCAAGCGUUGUCCGGAUUUAUUGGGCGUAAAGCGAGCGCAGGCGGAAGAAUAAGUCUGAUGUGAAAGCCCUCGGCUUAACCGAGGAAUUGCA
Molecule: ribosomal RNA, 279 nt
Filed under: uncultured bacterium
Lineage: Bacteria
Description: partial 16S ribosomal RNA
Rfam family: Bacterial small subunit ribosomal RNA
Source: RNAcentral